UAAAUCCAAAUAUACACCCUUGUGAACUGUGCGCUGAAGUUGCUACGCUUGUCGUGCAUCUUUCGCUGCAAAAACUACUUAAUUUAAGAAAGCUGAAGCAAAUUUAUUAAAUUAAA
This 116-nucleotide unclassified non-coding RNA is filed under the name uncultured Glomeraceae. Its description in RNAcentral is "sequence contains ITS1". Lineage: Eukaryota; Fungi; Glomeromycota; Glomeromycetes; Glomerales; Glomeraceae. The record is from RNAcentral.